CGUCUAUAUACGUAUAGCAUAUCAAUAAGCGGAGGAAAAGAAACUAACUAGGAUUCCCUCAGUAACGGCGAGUGAAGCGGGAAGAGCUCAAAUUUGAAAUCUUCAAGGUUCUACCUUGACGAAUUGUAGUUUAAAGAAGUGUUUUCUGUUGGAGUUUUGGUAAAAGUUCUUUGGAAUAGGACAUCAUAGAGGGUGAGAAUCCCGUAUUUGACCAUUAUUUCCAGCUUUGUGAUACACUUUCAAAGAGUCGGAUUGUUUGGGAAUGCAGUCCAAAAUGGGUGGUAAAUUUCAUCUAAAGCUAAAUACUGGCGAGAGACCGAUAGCGAACAAGUACCGUGAGGGAAAGAUGAAAAGAACUUUGAAAAGAGAGUUAAACAGUACGUGAAAUUGUCAAAAGGGAAGCGUUUGACACCAGUGUUGUUUUCUCGAAAAUCAAUUAAAAAUGGUGGGAUGUUGUGUUGUAUUGACUUUAUCAGCUUUCUGCACUUUUUUCCUGUCUUUUUUAAUGCACUUUUCGUUUAACAAGUCAACAUCAAUUUCUUUUGUUGUAAAAGAGUCAUUGGAAGGUGGCUUUCAUUUCGGAUGAAAGUGUUUAUAGCCUUUGACUUCUGCAGUCGGAGAGAUUGAGGUCUGCAGCGUAGAUCCUUCGGGGUUAGAUGCAUUUGUGCUAAGUUAUAGCCUUUCAUAGACAACUUGUUGACUAUGAUCAGUCAUGUAGCUUACUCGCUUAUGCUAUUUUACCUACGCUUAGGAUGUUGAUCUGUAGUGCGUGCGC
Molecule: ribosomal RNA, 775 nt
Filed under: uncultured Neocallimastigales
Lineage: Eukaryota; Fungi; Neocallimastigomycota; Neocallimastigomycetes; Neocallimastigales
Description: partial large subunit ribosomal RNA
Rfam family: Eukaryotic large subunit ribosomal RNA
Source: RNAcentral